UCCUAGUCUAAUUUAAUUGGACUUUCGAUCAAUUUCACCUGUCCUAAUCUAGUUUUCGAGCCUUUUGGCUCGAGUUUUGCUCCAUCCGUAUUAAAUUUACAACUUUGACUUCGAGGUCCAAAAUGAAUAAAUAAUGAAAUAAAGGAAUAAAUAAAUACAACAAUAAAUGACUAAAUAAAUAAACAAAUACAUGAAAAAUUAGACUUUCAAGUCUCUUGGCCGCUUCAAAGAUGAACUUUAACUCAUUUUUCUUCUUUCGACUCUUUGUAUCCAUAUGCCAUGUGAUUGUCUUCUGAAUUGUCUUUCAAAAGUCUUCUAAAAAGGAGUGGGCCUCAAUGGCCCAUUGCGCAAUGCAAGAGGAAAGAGUCCCUUUGGACUCACAAACGAGUUCAUGUAAAGAAAAAGAUAAAGGAAUUAAUAUCCAUUCAAAGCACAAAAUGACAUGCUUCAAGGUAAAAUAAAAUAUCAAAAGCUAAUUUUCGAACGACAAUGAUGGGCAUACUCAUGCAUAUAUGAUAAGAAUGAGAGUCAAAAGAUGAAAGGCAGAGCAAGAACACAACUCGAGUAUAUAGCUAAUCAAAGGGAGUAAAAAGACUAAAGUGAGAGUUUAACAUCUCUAAAGUAAACACCGUUUGAGGAUCGCACUAUGCACAAUUCGAAAAUAAAUAAUUCUAAUUAGCCAUAAAAGUUGGAACAAGCCUUUAAGGCACCGAAAAGGGAAAGCACGGAUGUUUUACAGAGAAAAGGGGAAAAGAAAAGGAGAACAAAGAUGAAAGGGCAAAUUAUGAGUUUCAAAUCAACGGAAACUUUUCUUUGAUCACGGCCUUACAAAAUCCUUAAAGGUCUUAGGCCAUGAGCAUGCAUAGGCAAAAAUAUUGUCGAGAUAACUAUAUUCAAACAAGCGACAACUUGGAUUCUACUAAUCAUAGCCAACACAAGGUACCCAAACCCAUUAAACAAGUGAUUCAAAUAUCGAAGAAAUAAUGACGUAGAAGACCGCGCUUAGCAAAUGGUGUUAAAUAACCAACAAGAAGAAAAUUUUCAAUCCAUUUUAAUGAAAUAGUUCUAACAUUGAAGCUUCUAUACCCACAAAUCCUUAGGACCGCUUAUAACAUCUCAAAUACCAUAAGACACAAGCAUAUGUACCAUAGCAAAAAUCUAAGAAACUUAACACAACAUAUUUGAUGUUUUGCACCGAUGUAACAAAAAGAACAGUAGGCAAAGGGUAAUUCUACCACUAGUGCAUAUGAUUACUUUUAUGGCAGGCGCAAAAGAGGAUAAUUUUCAAGCUUCUGAACUCAACUAAACAUCCAAAAAAGUAGCAUUACUCAAACAAAAUCUACCGCCUGUUAAAGUUCAUGGAAAACAGAAAAGGGAUGAAAGCUUGUGUAGAGUAACAACUAACACCAACAAACAAAUCAUUCAAUACAAAAAAAAAUAAAAAAAAAUGGAACGAACAAUUUAUCAAGAGAAGAAACAAUAUGUGGUUAGACUUAAGCAAAAGUUUCGUCUAGUGGCACGGUGAUUCAAAACAAAAUUUAAACUAAGAGAAAAAAUCGAGAAGCUAACCAAAAAACAGUGAGCACAAGACUACGACUAAAACAACGACGUGUUAAAAUAUACUACAAACAAGAUUUUCAUCACGUAAUCUAUGGCCUCAAGACCUAGAAACAACAGCUAAUCCCCAGCAAGCAAAGCUACGACUAUAAAACUACGACUACAAAGAAAGAGGCUAAGAGGAAAACGAUGACAGAACUAAAGAGAAAAGGAAUGUUUACCUCUUUCGGGGGAGCAAAAUGAGACAACGAACUAACGUUGGGAUAUCGAUCACCACCGAAGGACUUUGCCGCGACUACGAAAGCUCCAAAGCAGUCCCGACCCUUCUCCGGGAAAAGAAAAAUUAUACUCCAAUAGAAAGUUAACUCGUUUUUCUCAACUCAGAAUAAUUUUCACCUCCCUUUUUCCCUUUUUUCUUAUGUUUUUUUGCUUCGAAAAAUCCCCCCCUCGGCGCAACAGUGAGCUCCCCUUUUAUAGGAAACCAUUGAGGGUCUCCUCUUAUGUUGGGACGAUGUGGGAAUCCCCAAAAACAAGGGUAAUUUUGGGAACUUAUAAUAGGGAAUUCAAAAUUUGAACUCAAGAUAGCGUUUUCCACCAACAAAUUGUAUGAAUUUUGGGAUUUUUUGAACAAAUUUGAAAAGAUUGGCCAAUAAAAUUGGGGAAAUCCGAAUCAGGACCAAGGACCAAUGAAAUCCCAACAAAUACGUAUGGAUUGUACGAAUUUGACCAUUGGGGAAGCCACCUCGGCAUUUCUAGCAUAUUCUCGAACAAAGCCCGCGUGGGACGCCUGAGGAAAAUUAAAACCAGUUGAUUGCGGGUUGUUGGUAUCGGGUUGCUGUUCGGAUUGGAGGUCGGGUCUGGUUUCGGGUCGGCGUUGAUCGGUUUUUGUGCGUUGUUGUCGAUAUUGUUGUUUGAUCUGUUUGUUGUUGCUGUGCGUUAUUUCCCUUAAAGGAGAAGAUGGAGUAAAGUGGGCCGGAUCAUGGACUGGUUUGGGCUGAAAUGGUUGAAAUGGGUUUUGCUGAAUCAAAAAAGGAUUAGAGGGGUUUGGGCCGAUCCAGAUCAAUUAGUAUUGGGCCUGUUUAUUUCAAAUGCCAUUGGGCUACUGGUUAAUUUUAGGGUUAAAUUGGUAGAUUAGGAAUGUCAAAAUUUUGGGGGUUAUUUAAAACAUAACCCCCAAUUAAAAUUUAGGAUUUAGCCGAUUUUAAUUAAUAUUUGAUCAAAUUGAAAAUUAAAUUGGUCAAUUGAAUUGCAAUUGUGGUCAAUUUGAUUUUAAUUGUGGUCGAAUUUAAUAAAUUGACUAGAUCGAAUCGAAAUUCGAUAUGAAUUAAUACCUCGUUCAAUCCCGAGCUUCUUGAUUUAAUAAACUCA
RNAcentral lists this long non-coding RNA (2925 nucleotides) under Capsicum annuum. RNAcentral describes it as "long non-coding RNA (CANN_LNC005520)". The record is from RNAcentral. Lineage: Eukaryota; Viridiplantae; Streptophyta; Magnoliopsida; Solanales; Solanaceae.